UGGGGAAUUUUGGACAAUGGGGGAAACCCUGAUCCAGCCAUCCCGCGUGUGCGAUGAAGGCCUUCGGGUUGUAAAGCACUUUUGGCAGGAAAGAAACGUCAUGGGUUAAUACCCCGUGAAACUGACGGUACCUGCAGAAUAAGCACCGGCUAACUACGUGCCAGCAGCCGCGGUAAUACGUAGGGUGCAAGCGUUAAUCGGAAUUACUGGGCGUAAAGCGUGCGCAGGCGGUUCGGAAAGAAAGAUGUGAAAUCCCAGAGCUCAACUUUGGAACUGCAUUUUUAACUACCGGGCUAGAGUGUGUCAGAGGGAGGUGGAAUUCCGCGUGUAGCAGUGAAAUGCGUAGAUGUGCGGAGGAACACCGAUGGCGAAGGCAGCCUCCUGGGAUAACACUGACGCUCAUGCACGAAAGCGUGGGGAGCAAACAGG
RNAcentral lists this ribosomal RNA (429 nucleotides) under Acidobacteriota bacterium. RNAcentral describes it as "Acidobacteria bacterium partial 16S ribosomal RNA". It matches the Rfam family "Bacterial small subunit ribosomal RNA", at positions 355 to 776 of the family's 1533-position model. The record is from RNAcentral. Lineage: Bacteria; Pseudomonadati; Acidobacteriota.